Molecule: non-coding RNA, 896 nt
Organism: Trichomonas vaginalis G3
Lineage: Eukaryota; Parabasalia; Trichomonadida; Trichomonadidae
Source: Rfam
GAGAGCCAUCGGGGGUAGAUCUAUCUCAUGACGAGUGGUGGAAUACUUUGACUCAUGAGAGAGAAGCUGAGGCGAAAGCGUCUACCUAGAGGGUUUCUGUCGAUCAAGGGCGAGAGUAGGAGUAUCCAACAGGAUUAGAGACCCUGGUAGUUCCUACCUUAAACGAUGCCGACAGGAGUUUGUCAUUUGUUAAUGGCAGAAUCUUUGGAGAAAUCAUAGUUCUUGGGCUCUGGGGGAACUACGACCGCAAGGCUGAAACUUGAAGGAAUUGACGGAAGGGCACACCAGGGGUGGAGCCUGUGGCUUAAUUUGAAUCAACACGGGGAAACUUACCAGGACCAGAUGUUUUUUAUGACUGACAGGCUUCGGGUCUUUCAGGAUAUUGUUUUUGGUGGUGCAUGGCCGUUGGUGGUGCGUGGGUUGACCUGUCUAGCGUUGAUUCAGCUAACGAGCGAGAUUAUCGCCAAUUAUUUACUUUGCCGAAGUCCUUCGGUUAAAGUUCUAAUUGGGACUCCCUGCGAUUUUAGCAGGUGGAAGAGGGUAGCAAUAACAGGUCCGUGAUGCCCUUUAGAUGCUCUGGGCUGCACGCGUGCUACAAUGUUAGGAUCAAUAGGACUGCGAGCCUGAGAGGGUGCGCUACUCUUAUAAUCCCUAACGUAGUUGGGAUUGACGUUUGUAAUCAGCGUCAUGAACCAGGAAUCCCUUGUAAAUGUGUGUCAACAACGCACGUUGAAUACGUCCCUGCCCUUUGUACACACCGCCCGUCGCUCCUACCGAUUGGAUGACUCGGUGAAAUCACCGGAUGCUUACGAGCAGAAAGUGAUUAAAUCACGUUAUCUAGAGGAAGGAGAAGUCGUAACAAGGUAACGGUAGGUGAACCUGCCGUUGGAUCAGUU